Thalassophryne amazonica is the source of this 3336-nucleotide long non-coding RNA. RefSeq lists it as uncharacterized. NCBI's taxonomy places the organism in Eukaryota, Metazoa, Chordata, Actinopteri, Batrachoidiformes, Batrachoididae. The record is from RefSeq and is a predicted model, not a curated record. The transcript has 2 exons.
UUCACUCAUUAUUAAAAUUUUACAAACGUACUAAUGAAGCCUUUUACACCACAAACAGAGAUUCUUGUUUUUUUCCAGACAUUUUUCAGGUGAAGAUAAACUGUUGUUUACGUAACGCUGCAGUCGUUUAGUUCCGUCGGCUCACAUCUUGUCGGUGCUGUAUACCUUCAGGGGCGGGGCCUAUUGUCCACCUGCUACCUGCCGUCUGUCUAAAAGUGCUCACGAUAAAGAAUCCGUUCGUACUUACAUUACAGAUGAUUGUUUUGGAAACGGAGGUACUUUUUCUCGCCUUGUUCUGGAACAACAAAAUAAGACUAAACUUUGAUUCACAUAUUCAAACAUAAAAAUAUGUAAAAAUAAAUAGUAAAUAAAUAAAGGUUAAGUAAAUUUGUUUGUGCUGGACAGCAUCUGUCAGAUUCUAACUCGGGAAAACUCUGGUGUUAAAAACAGCUUUUAAGGUUUCAUUUUAUGGUUUAGAAGCUGGUAACCAAUACCAUCGUAGGUGUCUGUUCAUAGAUAGCACUCAAACGGUAAACAAAUAAGUUUUUGUCUGUUUUAAAGGAGCAGCUUCGUGUAGCUAACGGGCUGCGUUAAAUGAGUGAUGACAGGGGGAGGAGCUUGGCCAGCAGCCGGUUCAGUAUCAUCAGCACUGAUUGGUCAGAUUUUUUUUUUCUUCUUCUGAAACACGAAAAACUUUUUUGUAGUUUUAUUUAUGAUGUAAUUUGUUUGUUUUUUAUUUAAUUACAGAAUGAGUCAUUUCAUUUUCAUAUGCGGACCUUCAAGAAAAGAAAAUGUCAAAACACUUUUUUGCGUGUUUUGUCUGUUUACGAAGGCUCCAAGUUCUUUUUCAUUCCUUUUGCUCAGGAACGUUGCCACUUAGUGGCCACACUCUUUAACAGACAAAAAUCAGAAAAAGUCCAAACAAACAGCAGUGAUUCUUACAUUUUUGUGGACUUCUCUUUCAUUUCUGACAGUAUGAACUAAAGAUCUUUCAGGUUUUUCUGGUUAACUUCAUUUCAUGUGUUCAUAUUCAUCCAUUCCUGCAUUUCAGGAUGACAUUCCACAAAAGGUUGGUCACUAAACCAUUUACCACUUUGUCAUGUUGACAUUUCUUCUCACAGCACCUAAAAGACAUUUUGGCUUUGAGGACACUAAGUGAUGAACUGCUCCAGGUGUUAUUUUGCCUGAUUUUUCCUGUAAACGUCUUAAAGUGUCCAGCAGUACAGGUCGUCUUCUUAAUUCUCUACACACUCUCUGUUGGGGACAGGUCAGGACUCUGGCAGGCCACUCCAGUACCCGUCCCGUCUUCUCCUGCAGCCGUGUCUUUGUAACGUGUGCAGAAUGUGGUUUUGUAUUGUAUUGUUGAAUAAUACAUGGACGUCCCUGGAAAAGACGUCGUCUUGCAGGCAGCACGUGUUGCUCUAAAAUCUCAUGGUACUUUUCUGCAUUAAUGCUGCAUCACAGAGUGUAAAUGACCUUUGACAAGGACACUGACAUGACCCCAGACUUGGACAGACCCUUGAUUUUGGAGUUGUUGCUGACAACAGUCUGAAUGGUCCUUUUGGUCUUUGGUCCACACCACACGGUGUGCAUUUCUUCCAAAAAAAGAAAAAAAGAUCUGGAAUAAUGAUUUGUUUGACCACAAUACAUGAUUCCACUGUCUGAUUGUCCAACCGAGUAGCUUCUGAGACAAGAGACAUUGUCAGCACUUCUGCACAAAGUUAACAUGAGGCUUCUUCUUUGCACAGUAAAGGUUUAAGCAGAAUUUGUGCAAGUAACUCUGUUUUAGUACUGGACAAAGGUUUCUCAAAGUAAUCCAUUGCCCAUGUGGUUAUAUCAGCUAUUGAUGAAUGACUGUUCUUGAUGCAAUGCUGUCACAGAUCACGGAUGUCCAUCUUAGGCUUGCGUCCUUUCCUUCUACACACUGAAAUUCUUCCACAUUCCUUGAAUCAUUUCAUGAUAUUUUGCACUGUAGAAGCAGAAAUAUGCAAACUCCUUCCCUCUUUCUUUGAGGAACAUUGUUUUCUCACACAUUUGCUGAUCCUUGGCCCGUCUUUGUCCUCAAAGACUCACACUUUAUAAGGGCCCCUUCAUAUAUAGUACAAAUAAGUACAAAUCAGGGCAGAUCACAGUGAAACAGCUCGUAUGAGUGAACCACGAAAACUUUGAGCCGAUGUUGGGAGGGACACGUGGUUGGGCAGAUGUGAACAAACCCGCUGCAUCGGUUUCGUGCAAUAAACUGUUGCAGCAGGAACAGUGCGAGCAGCUGGAGCAUGUGUAACCACAUUGCGCAGCUGCUAUGAAAAAAACAAUACAUGCCACCCACGGGAUUCGACCCUGCAAUUUACAAAAGCUCUGAUUGCCAGCCAGAAACUUUACCACUGUGCUACCAUUGCUGUCCUAUAAAAGGUGCGGAAAAAUGGCUGAAAUCAACAAUGAGAUAGAUGUAUUUAAAAAAAAAAAACCCACUGCAUUUCAUUGAAUCCGUCUUAUCGAGUGAACAAUACAAGUAUGAACCGUCUGUUCCUCUGUAGGUGACCCAUGGUUACAGAUGAAAUGACAUGAAUGAAGCAGUGCACUGUUAUCAUGUCCACAUCUACUGGCCCGGUGGGUCUAGCGGUCCGCGCACGCAUGUCCGGCCCGACACACAUGUCCUGUGGAUGGCACGCCACAGGACUGACUAGUGAUGGGAUGAACAACACUGAUGUGUCAACACUGGGCCGAGCACACGAGUGAAACCCCGUAUUGGUGCGUGUAUUGCUUUAAGAAAAAAUCAUGUGACCGAUACAGGAACUGUGUCGUUCGACUGCGCCAUGCCAAAUUAUGUUUAUAAGGAAACAAACUGUAUCGACAUGUUGCAGAUUUGUUGGAUGGAGUUUUGCUGUUGGAUUUUUUGCUUGCCCUCACCUCGUACCACUGACUUUAUGGCUCGUUCAAAGACGUUUCCCCAGUCUGGAAUAAUUUUGAUCUUUUGACACCAAAUAAGGUUUUGGUUUUGUGUUGACUCUUGAGUUCCCGUUCCUAGUCUGCGGGGGCACUGAUGGUUCUGGGAUCCAUGUGUGUGAAACGCUUUCUCCCAUUCCACAGAUCCCCGUCCAGAUUUUCAGGUUUGUCUUUGAGUCCGCGUCCAUUCUUUUCACCAUGUCUUGUGAAAAUAAAUGUUUUAAUUUCAUUUAAAUUCCUGUAAUAAUGUGAGAGAGAAACCAAAUGUUGAUAUUCUGCUGAGGCUUUUCUCCACUGUGCCUUAUUGUAGUGCACCACAGAUCCGUGCACGUGAGAAAAAGCCAAACCAGGUGGCACCAACCAGAAUGUCUGUUUUGUUUUUGUUUGUUUUUU